AGGAUGAACGCUAGCGACAGGCUUAACACAUGCAAGUCGAGGGGCAGCACAGGUAGCAAUACCGGGUGGCGACCGGCGCACGGGUGAGUAACGCGUAUGCAACUUGCCUAUCAGAGGGGGAUAACCCGGCGAAAGUCGGACUAAUACCGCAUGAAGCAGGGGCCCCGCAUGGGGAUAUUUGCUAAAGAUUCAUCGCUGAUAGAUAGGCAUGCGUUCCAUUAGGCAGUUGGCGGGGUAACGGCCCACCAAACCGACGAUGGAUAGGGGUUCUGAGAGGAAGGUCCCCCACAUUGGUACUGAGACACGGACCAAACUCCUACGGGAGGCAGCAGUGAGGAAUAUUGGUCAAUGGCCGAGAGGCUGAACCAGCCAAGUCGCGUGAGGGAUGAAGGUUCUAUGGAUCGUAAACCUCUUUUAUAAGGGAAUAAAGUGCGGGACGUGUCCCGUUUUGUAUGUACCUUAUGAAUAAGGAUCGGCUAACUCCGUGCCAGCAGCCGCGGUAAUACGGAGGAUCCGAGCGUUAUCCGGAUUUAUUGGGUUUAAAGGGUGCGUAGGCGGCCUUUUAAGUCAGCGGUGAAAGUCUGUGGCUCAACCAUAGAAUUGCCGUUGAAACUGGGGGGCUUGAGUAUGUUUGAGGCAGGCGGAAUGCGUGGUGUAGCGGUGAAAUGCAUAGAUAUCACGCAGAACCCCGAUUGCGAAGGCAGCCUGCCAAGCCAUUACUGACGCUGAUGCACGAAAGCGUGGGGAUCAAACAGGAUUAGAUACCCUGGUAGUCCACGCAGUAAACGAUGAUCACUAGCUGUUUGCGAUACACUGUAAGCGGCACAGCGAAAGCGUUAAGUGAUCCACCUGGGGAGUACGCCGGCAACGGUGAAACUCAAAGGAAUUGACGGGGGCCCGCACAAGCGGAGGAACAUGUGGUUUAAUUCGAUGAUACGCGAGGAACCUUACCCGGGUUUGAACGCAUUCGGACCGAGGUGGAAACACCUUUUCUAGCAAUAGCCGUUUGCGAGGUGCUGCAUGGUUGUCGUCAGCUCGUGCCGUGAGGUGUCGGCUUAAGUGCCAUAACGAGCGCAACCCUUGCCACUAGUUACUAACAGGUAAAGCUGAGGACUCUGGUGGGACUGCCAGCGUAAGCUGCGAGGAAGGCGGGGAUGACGUCAAAUCAGCACGGCCCUUACAUCCGGGGCGACACACGUGUUACAAUGGCGUGGACAAAGGGAGGCCACCUGGCGACAGGGAGCGAAUCCCCAAACCACGUCUCAGUUCGGAUCGGAGUCUGCAACCCGACUCCGUGAAGCUGGAUUCGCUAGUAAUCGCGCAUCAGCCAUGGCGCGGUGAAUACGUUCCCGGGCCUUGUACACACCGCCCGUCAAGCCAUGGGAGCCGGGGGUACCUGAAGUCCGUAACCGAAAGGAUCGGCCUAGGGUA
RNAcentral lists this ribosomal RNA (1431 nucleotides) under uncultured organism. Its description in RNAcentral is "16S ribosomal RNA". It matches the Rfam family "Bacterial small subunit ribosomal RNA". The record is from RNAcentral.